CGGGCGUCUUAACAUGCAAGUCGAGCGGCAGGCAGCAACGCCGAGAGCGGCGGACUGGUGAGUAACACGUGGAUAACGUACCCCGAUGUCUGGGACAGCCUGUAGAAAUAGAGGGUAAUACCGGAUAGAUCACUGUUUACGUGAGGUAGACAGCGGGAAAGGAGCUUCGGCUCCGCGCCGGGAACGGUCUGCGGCCCAUCAGCUAGACGGCGGGGUAAGUGCCCGCCGUGGCGAGGACGGGUAUCCGGCCUGAGAGGGCGGACGGACACAUUGGGACUGAGAUACGGCCCAGACUCCUACGGGAGGCAGCAGGUAAGAAUAUUCCGCAAUGGGGGGAACCCUGACGGAGCGACGCCGCGUGAACGAAGAAGGCCGGAAGGUUGUAAAGUUCUUUUCUGUUCGAGGAAUAAGUGUAGGAGGAAAUGCCUGCAUGGUGACGGUAGGGCAGGAAUAAGCACCGGC
Molecule: ribosomal RNA, 462 nt
Filed under: Treponema socranskii
Lineage: Bacteria; Pseudomonadati; Spirochaetota; Spirochaetia; Treponematales; Treponemataceae
Description: bacterial SSU rRNA
Rfam family: Bacterial small subunit ribosomal RNA
Source: RNAcentral